GAAGGUUCGGUAACACGGACUGGAGGGCCGAACUCACCAAAGUUGAAAAUUGGGAGAUGAGCGUGUGGGUAGGGGUGAAAGGCUAAUCAAACUUGGAGAUAGCUGGUUCUCCUCGAAACAUAUUUAGGUAUGGCCUCGUGGCAGUUCACCGGAGGUAAAGCACUGAUUGGGCUAGGGGGCUCACCCCGCUUACCAACCCCAGUCAAACUCUGAAUACCGGCUGAAUGGUCCACGGGAGACAGACGAUGGGUGAUAACGUCCGCCGUCAAAAGGGUAACAACCCAGACCGCCUGCUAAGGUCCCUAAAUUCGACUAAGUGGUAAAGGAUGUGGGAACGCACAGACAACCAGUAGGUUGGCUUAGAAGCAGCCAUCCUUAAAAGAAAGCGUAAUAGCUCACUGGUCAAGCGAGCCUGCGCCGAAGAUGUAACGGGGC
RNAcentral lists this ribosomal RNA (435 nucleotides) under uncultured bacterium. RNAcentral's name for it is "bacterial LSU rRNA". It matches the Rfam family "Bacterial large subunit ribosomal RNA", at positions 747 to 1181 of the family's 2925-position model. The record is from RNAcentral.